RNAcentral lists this long non-coding RNA (368 nucleotides) under Nicotiana tabacum (common tobacco). RNAcentral describes it as "long non-coding RNA (NTAB_LNC007929)". Lineage: Eukaryota; Viridiplantae; Streptophyta; Magnoliopsida; Solanales; Solanaceae. The record is from RNAcentral.
CCGCCAAUCCCACCCCCACUUUCCCAAUUCUUUCUUCAACCAUGGUUAGACUAAAAAAUGCGAGAACGACAGAGAAGAAGAGUGAGAGAGAACCCCAUAACUUCGCUAUUCUUGAGCAGAAGAGGUAAGCUCAUAUCUCUAUAUUUUACGGUUUGUGAGUUUUUUCGUACCUACUUGACAUGAAUUUUUGGUUUUAAUUUUGCGAAUUAUUCAGCAAUUUAAUAUUCUGCCCUAUUUUUGAUAUAUAGUGAGUGAAAAUUUGAAGAUUUUGAAGUGGUAAUUUUGGGAGGAGCCAUAGUUCAUGGACUGUAACAGCAAAGUAACAUUAGAAAAUUGUGAUGAAGAUCCUUUAAGAAGUUUAAAAAGUC